Alosa alosa (allis shad) is the source of this 325-nucleotide long non-coding RNA. RefSeq lists it as uncharacterized. The record is from RefSeq and is a predicted model, not a curated record. NCBI's taxonomy places the organism in Eukaryota, Metazoa, Chordata, Actinopteri, Clupeiformes, Clupeidae. The transcript is spliced from 4 exons.
UUUGGCAUGUUUCUGGCUAACCAAAAGACUCAGCAAAGACCGGGAAUUUUCAAACUUUCUACUCGGACAAGACCCAGCCUAGCCCCCAGUUCGACCAGCGAUCACAGUUGAGCCCCAGGACCAAGGCGUUGAGGUGGCGUGAAUUCGGCGUGCCCUGUCUGCAAUCCUGCCUUUCAGUAAGCCCCAGGACCGAGGCGUUGAGGUGGCAUCACAUUCGGCGUCCCCUGUCUGCAAUCCUGCCUAGUACAAGACAUUCGCUAUCAGCACUGGUUCUGUUGGAGAUGGAUUGAAACUGACGUUUCUUGUUGUCGAUCUGGAGGUGCGA